RNAcentral lists this ribosomal RNA (771 nucleotides) under uncultured Abiotrophia sp. RNAcentral's name for it is "bacterial SSU rRNA". It matches the Rfam family "Bacterial small subunit ribosomal RNA", at positions 28 to 776 of the family's 1533-position model. Lineage: Bacteria; Bacillati; Bacillota; Bacilli; Lactobacillales; Aerococcaceae. The record is from RNAcentral.
GACGAACGCUGGCGGCGUGCCUAAUACAUGCAAGUCGAACGAACCGCGACUGAGUGCUUGCACUUGGUCAAGGUGAGUGGCGAACGGGUGAGUAACACGUGGGUAACCUACCUCAUAGUGGGGGAUAACAGUCGGAAACGACUGCUAAUACCGCAUAGGACAUGGAAUCACAUGAUUCUGUGAGGAAAGGUGGCGCAAGCUAUCGCUAAGAGAUGGACCCGCGGUGCAUUAGCUAGUUGGUAGGGUAAGGGCCUACCAAGGCGAUGAUGCAUAGCCGACCUGAGAGGGUGAUCGGCCACAUUGGGACUGAGACACGGCCCAAACUCCUACGGGAGGCAGCAGUAGGGAAUCUUCCGCAAUGGACGCAAGUCUGACGGAGCAACGCCGCGUGAGUGAAGAAGGUCUUCGGAUCGUAAAGCUCUGUUGUUAGAGAAGAACAGCGCAUAGAGUAACUGUUAUGCGUGUGACGGUAUCUAACCAGAAAGCCACGGCUAACUACGUGCCAGCAGCCGCGGUAAUACGUAGGUGGCGAGCGUUGUCCGGAUUUAUUGGGCGUAAAGGGAGUGUAGGCGGUCUUUUAAGUCUGAUGUGAAAGCCCACGGCUCAACCGUGGAGGGUCAUUGGAAACUGGGAGACUUGAGUGCAGAAGAGGAGAGCGGAAUUCCAUGUGUAGCGGUGAAAUGCGUAGAUAUAUGGAGGAACACCAGUGGCGAAGGCGGCUCUCUGGUCUGUAACUGACGCUGAGGCUCGAAAGCGUGGGGAGCAAACAGG